Molecule: ribosomal RNA, 256 nt
Filed under: uncultured bacterium
Lineage: Bacteria
Description: partial 16S ribosomal RNA
Rfam family: Bacterial small subunit ribosomal RNA
Source: RNAcentral
GGGUGCCUACGGGACGCAGCAGUGAGGAAUAUUGGUCAAUGGGCUUACGCCUGAACCAGCCAAGUCGCGUGAGGGAAGACUGCCCUAUGGGUUGUAAACCUCUUUUGUCAGGGAGCAACGCCGGCUACGUGUAGCCGGACUGAGAGUACCUGAAGAAAAAGCAUCGGCUAACUCCGUGCCAGCAGCCGCGGUAAUACGGAGGAUGCGAGCGUUAUCCGGAUUUAUUGGGUUUAAAGGGUGCGUAGGCUGAAUGCCA